GAGGGUAUAGCUCAAGUGGUAGAGCACAUGCUUAGCAUGCAUGAGGUCCUGGGUUCAAUCCCCAGUACAUUCA
This 73-nucleotide transfer RNA is filed under the name Camelus bactrianus (Bactrian camel). It matches the Rfam family "tRNA". Rfam says of the family: Transfer RNA (tRNA) molecules are approximately 80 nucleotides in length. Their secondary structure includes four short double-helical elements and three loops (D, anti-codon, and T loops). Lineage: Eukaryota; Metazoa; Chordata; Mammalia; Artiodactyla; Camelidae. RNAcentral also lists the same sequence under 3 other names. The record is from Rfam by way of RNAcentral.